AAUCUAUACCAUAUCUUCUGGAAAUUCUGGGUAUUGUGAUUUUUACUUUUAGGGUAGUGAUUUGACAAUUAUCAUUCUAGAAAUAUUCCUUCACUACAUCUAAUUUUUCUGUUCAAAUAAGUUAGCUGAUAUUCCAAAUUUGGGUUUCAUGAGUAUUUUUAUAAUUUCUAGUUUUGCUAGAGCAGGUUGGUUAUACGAUUUCAGUUUUUCAGUAAUGAUUUUCACUUUGUGUCUUAUUCUGAGUUCUUAUAGGUUUAGGAAAGCAUAAAAAGCUUGUUUAUUACUAAAAAAGAAUUUUCUGUUUUCCAUUUCCAGUUUUCAUUUUCACUGGAAAAUUUGUUCAUUUUUAUCUCUAUUUUAUGCUUGUUAUUACUUAAGAAAUUUUAAUUGAAUUAGGAAAUUUUAUUGUGUUAGUCAGUCAUUCAUGUUAUAGUAGUAAUAGUCAUAGUGAGGUGAUGAUGUCAUUGAUAGUCAUAGUGAGGUGAUAGUUGUAAAUGGUGGUGAUGGGGUGGUCAAGGUGGCAGUGACAGUAGCUGCAAUGGCGUUAGAGACAGUGGAUGGUGAUGACAAUAAUAUUUGCAAUAGUUAUGAUUUAAGUGGCAUUAGGGCGAUAACAAGGCCAGUAAUGCUGGCAGUGAUGGAGGCGAUGCUAAUGAUAAUUGUAUGGUGUUGGUAGCAGUAGUUAUGGAACUCGAGAGUGAUAAUUGUUGCAGUGGUUGUGGGGAUUUUAGUGCUGGAGGUUUAGAUGGUAGCAACACUAGUGGCAAUCGUUAGUGAUGGUGUUGAUGGUUGUACCAAUGAUGAAGAUGUGAUUGUGAAGCCAUUGGUGACAACAAGAAGGUGACGUAGGUGUUAGCGAUGGUGUUGUCAAUGGUAGUUGUUCUUAGCAGAUUGUGAUGAUGAUUAUUGUAUGGUUAAAAAUAUAUGUACAAUGUUUUCAAAAACAAGUAGAAAACCUGUGGAGUUUAUAAAAGAAAAUAGUUGAGAACAAGUUAUAGCUGUUUUCAACCCCAGUAUAAAUUUGUAAAACUGUUCCAAUUGAAUAGAGUAGUUUUCUGUUUCCAUGGAAGAAUUUACUAGAGACUGCUCCAGUUUUCACAAAUGAACAGGCUUAUUCUUUUCAGUUUCUUUGGAAGUGUAAGUCCUUGGAGGAUUAUUGGAAUUCCAAAUUUUGAAGGAUUGGCGUUACAUAGAGUCCAUAAAUACUCAUGCUUGUUAUUCAUUUUUCAGAAGAUAAAAAUUUCAACUGUCAUGCUACUUUAAAUUGUAUGAUGCAAUUUAACUCUAAAGUGCAAUGCUUAAGAGAACGUUGGGUGUAAUGCCAAAGGACUUCAAAGUGUGAUGCUAAGUAUCUCUUAUAAUUUUUCUCUUAUUUGUCACUUCAACCGGAUUUGAAUACUUGCAAACAGUUGCUUAUUUCAGCCAACCAAAGUUAGUUUCAGUUAUUUAUUUUGAGUUUGUAUGUGCAUCCUAGCUUUCGAACUGACUCAAACCAGACCUAGAAGACAAAACCUGCAAGGUGUUUGUGCCAAUAGUUCUAGAACAUAACCUAUCUUCAUUUAUUUUUCCUCCUUAAAAUGCAUUCUCAAAUCUUCUUUGCUGUUCAAGCCUGAGUUAUGGAACAAUAAAAUGUUCUGAAUCACAAGUUUGUUACUAUGGUGCAGUGCCGGAGCUUUUAUUUUCUCAU
This 1687-nucleotide unclassified non-coding RNA is filed under the name Hevea brasiliensis (rubber tree). Lineage: Eukaryota; Viridiplantae; Streptophyta; Magnoliopsida; Malpighiales; Euphorbiaceae. The record is from RNAcentral.